This 6913-nucleotide long non-coding RNA is filed under the name Sus scrofa (pig). RNAcentral's name for it is "lncRNA (ENSSSCG00065024070.1)". Lineage: Eukaryota; Metazoa; Chordata; Mammalia; Artiodactyla; Suidae. The record is from RNAcentral.
UUUUUUUUUUUUUUUUUUUUUUUGUCUUUUCUAGGGCUGCACCCACGGCAUUGGGAGGUUCCCAGCUGCACUCUAAAACAACACAAAACAAAAAGUAAAUUCUCAAUUCAAAAAAAAACAAACAAAAAAAAACCAAAACACUAGAGAAGUUAGUCUGCUUACUGCCCUUCCCCCACAAACCUUAACCUCACUUUUCCCUGUCAAUCAAUCCAGUUCAUGAAUGAGCUGACAGCGGACCUCAGGCAGACCUUCCUAACCCCUGGCCACAAGAACACUCGCUUUAGUCGUGUGGGAUCAUGGAAUGAGACUCAGAGUCGAGCUGUCUGGAGGGUGACAUGUUGUUACUUUGGGCAAGAUCAAGUUUCAAUCCUCACCAGUGUCGAAGUGGAGCUAGAAAUAGUACCUUCGCAUGGUUAUUGUGGGGAAAAGUGAGAUAUAUGUGCAAAGAGGGGGGGUAGGAGGGUCCCCAACACGUAGUAGACAUUCAAUAAGUUACUUUCAUUCCUGAAGAUGAGAUUUUCUAGAGCAGCAUCAGAGGGGUAGCAGCUUUGUUUCUAUCUAACCAUUACCUUGGACCCCCCUAGGACAGAAAUCAGCUGGACACCAAGCCACAUGAGCCCACACAGAUCUCCACCUACCAAAGUUGUUCGAAAGUCUACUUUUGAACAAUAAUGCAAGAAUGAAGGUGAGCAGGAGUCCCCUGGUGGCUCGGCAGGUUGAGGAUCCAGUGUUGUCACUGCUGUGGCACAGGUUCUAUCCCAGACCCAGUAACUUCCAUAUGCCACAGACCAAGCUUCAAAAAAAAAAAAAAAAAAAAGAACAAGCGUGGGCAGAAAGAAUCUCCUAAGAGAUCAUCAUCUCCCAUGACAUAAAAUGGGGCUGAGUGUUGAGCCUUUUUCUCUUUAAGUGAUGCGCCACAUGAUCUGAUACCACUUUAAAUGAAGUGGAUAUGCGGUCUUUCAAGCACACAGAAAGAUAAGCAUCACCCUUUGCGCCGAUGAUAGGGUUUAUGAAGAACCAGGAGAAAGAAAUUCUAAGCGCUGGUCCCCACCCCUGCAGAAAUAUAAUCUUAACAUCAGUGGUUCCCUGCCUACGAAGCCCUGGGCCUCGGCCUACCCCUGUGUAUCUUUGACCUCAGCUUGAGGCUGAGCCAAGUGCUCCUUACGAUUUAGGUGAGUCAGGGCAGGUGGAGAGAAGGUGUUCCCAAAUGCAUCAGAGUCCACUAUGGAUCUUGCAAAGAAUGAAGGUUCUCCAGACCUGUCUGGUCCAACUCUGCAGAGGGGGAGUCCCAAAUCUGUCAUUCUCAGUAAGCUCCCCGGAAUCCCAUGCCCAGGGAAUUCUCUUGCAGCCAGGCUGCCACCGUUAGGGUCUGAAGAACCAAGAGAUGGGUCACUCAAAGUCUAUGAUAGGAGAGUUGGUACAGGGAGUUUCCCAAAGAAAAUAGUUCUGGUUAGCUCACGUUGAAGAGGAAGAAAGUGAGACUCAUAUUGAAUAUACUUAAGAUUAGACACAAGGCUGCUCGGAUUUGGAAGUGUAUGGUUUUGAGUAAGAGUUUAAGAUAAAUAAACACUUUAGAUUUCCUGGUAGAAGCCAGUCCCAAGAAUACUGAGUUUUAGUACUUCCCUGAGCAAGAUAAAGUCAAUGAGAAAAUUAGAAAUGAGCCUCGUCCCUAAUCAGUGAGCCUUGAGAGCAAACGGAGGACUGAGAGUCAGUCCCUACUCCCAACGGGGUGAUCUUGAGAGAUGGGAUCCAACAGGUGUUUGACAACAGAGAGAAAGAGACAGGGAGGGAGAGAACUGACUGAGCCGGGCUGCAAACUGGGCUGCCGAGGUUGGCAACCUAAUGCCUUCCGGAUGGAUGGAAACUCAACUCUCAUUUCCUUGCUCUUCCGGAAUGGAGUCUCAGUGGUGUCCCCAUAAAGCCAAGAUGCCAGCCAGGGGGAAGCAUUCAUAGCACAUCUGCAGCCAGGGGACCCCAGACCUUAGACUUUCCUGCCCAGAGACUGAGGGUUGGGAGAGAUGGGGGAGACUGCCUCUGCUUGAAGAGUCUGGCCCCCAUGAAAGGGAGAAACGAAUACAAGAGUUCAGCCUCCCCCAGUUCGGAGUGUAAGCUGUGGUCCCUCAACUUGGGGGAGUCAAGGCAAAGGCAUCAUCGCCUUAAGCAAAUGAUACUGUGAGCUGGGGAUCACUACAGCCCUACACCCUUACCCAAGACACCAGUUUUGUUUUGUUCUGUUUUUUUUUUUUACAGCCACACCCAUGGCAUAUGGAAGUUCCCAGGCUAGCGGUUGAAUCGGAGCUACAGAUGCCAGGCUACACCACAGCCACAGCAACGUGGGAUCUGAGCCACAUCCGCAACCCACACCACAGCUCACAGCAAUGCCGGAUUCUUCACCCAUUGAGCAAGGCCAGGGAUUGAACCCACAACCUCAAGGACACUGUUGGGUUCUUAACCCACUGAGACACAACAGGAACUCUGAGAGUGCCAGUUUCAGUGCCUAAGCUUUGCUGAAAAGAAUCGGUAUCUUGGGAAAUGUGGGAUGCAAAAAACAAUUUCUGAGUGUUUCAAGGCCUGUCAACGGUCCCUUAGAAGGUGGCCACUCAGGCUCAGAUGGAACCUGGCGAAGGACCUCCCCCCUCCCUCCACAUCAGUUCUCCCCAGAGUAUAAGUGCACCCACUGGUAAUAUAGGAGGUGAUUAUGGUGGUUCCUGGGGCCAUUUUUAAUCAUAAUUAUACAUUUACAGGUUCAGUGUGUUUCAGAAGAGAAAUUAGGACAUCAAAUCUGAAUUUUAUGGGAGUUCCCGUUGUGGCUCAGCAGCAAUGAAACCAACUAGUAUCCAUGAGGAUACGGGUUUGAUCCCCUGGCCCCACUCAGUGUGUUAGGGAUCUGGCGUGGCCGUGAGCUGUGGUGUAGGUUGAAGAAAGGGCUCAGAUCUGGUGUUGCUGUGGCUGUGGCGUAGGCCAGGGGCUACAGCUCUGAUUCGAUUCCUAGCCUGGGAACUUCCACAUGCCGUGGGUGGGGCCCUAAAAGGAAAAAAAAAAAAAAAAUCUGGUUUUUGUGGAUUUAACUGCUGAGGACAAGGUUAAAGGAGGUAUUUAAUUUUAAAAAAUAAGUUGGGUUUAAGAAAAAUGUUAAUGAUGGUACAAGUGCUUUGGGGAGGAGGCAAAGGUCAUAUAUUAAGUGGCUGAGGAAACACUGCUCUGGAUGAAACAUAAGAGUAACAGCCAAACACCAGCCCAUCUCAGAGGAGGAGAUGCCUUCUGGGAAGGAAUGUGUCCCAAAGGAAUAAAAUGUCACAAGCCCUGGGCCAAGGCAGGAGAAGGGGAACCUGCCCCUCUUAUUUCCUUCCACCUACAGCCAUGGCUGAAUAGCUACAAAAAAGAACAAGAAAAAAAAGUAACGGUUUGGUUAAUAAUCAAAAUGCACCAUUUUAUAAGCAAAAUAUAUUUUUAACUCAAGAAAGUGUUAUUUCACUAACCAUCCCACAGGGUGUUGCAAGCAUGACCUGAAGCUGCAACAGGAAAUGGCCCCUUGAUGUGGCCCACAGGCCUGGACAGCAAGCAGCGGCAGGGUGAGGGCCCAUCACCAAUCUCAGCAGGGGGGCCACUGCCCUGGCCCUGGCAGCAACAGGGAGCCAUGCCAUAGCGGGCCAGCAAAGGGGGAUAGGGGGAUAGUUCUGCAAGAGGUGGCCAGGAGGGCUGGUCCAAAUAGGGAACCAGAGAUGCCAUCUGGGAAUAUUUCAAAGGGAAGCUAUAAAUCUUGAAUGUUUUUUCCACCUUUUUUUUUUUUUUUUUUUGGCCCAACCUGUGGCACAUGGGAGUUCCCAGGCCAGGGAUCAAACCCAAGGCACAGGCGCAACCUAUGCCACAGCUGCGUGGCAACACCAGCUCCUUAACCCACUGAGCGGGACUGGGGAUUGAACAUGUGCCACCAGAGAAACAACGCUGGAUCCUUAACCUACCGAGCCACAGAGGGAACUCCCUCAUAUUUCUUAUUUUUAAUUUCUAUUUCUUCGGUGUGUUUUAUAACAUUCAUAUAUACUAGAGUAGAAGUAUAAAUAUAAUUUAUAAAUACAUAAAUACCAGAGUGAACACUCAAAAUUGUUUAUGGAUAGGAGGCAGGAUCAAAAAUUUGGCUGCUGUACGUCUACAUUCCUCCCUAACUACCGCUGCCUGGGUUGCUGUCAAUAGUUUCUCCACGUAAACUGUACCUCCCACACUGGAUGCUGGGGGAGAGGGGGUUGGGGAGCUGGUGGGGGCACCUGUGCCAUUGAGUUCAAACCACUUCAUGCGUAGUGGGGUCUCUGGGGCCUGGAGGGUUCUGAGGGGCCCAGGCUCCUUGGAGGAGCGGGUAUGGGAAGCUCUGUAAAGUCUAAAGUCCUGGAAAUAACACAGGGUCUGCCUUCAGAGGGACCUUCACUAGAGCCCACGUCCUAGCACAGGCUGGCUGUGCAAUCUGGAGUGCCCACUCUGAACAGCAAGUUUGUCUUCUGUCCAAUGAAGAGCUCAAGAGUGAUACAUAAGGAGUUCCCGUCGUGGCGCAGUGGUUAACGAAUCCGACUAGGAACCACGAGGUUGCGGGUUCGGUCCCUGCCCUUGCUCAGUGGGUUAACAAUCUGGCGUUGCCGUGAGCUGUGGUGUAGGUUGCAGACGCCCAAGAAAUAGCAACAACAACAACAACAACAAAAAAGACAAAAGACAAAAUAAAUAAAUAAAUAAAUAAAUAAUUUAAAAAAUAAAUAAAUAAAUAAAAACUGCAUUAAAAAAAAAAAAAAAGAGUGAUACAUAAGUCGUGGCCUCUUUGCAAGGCUCCCAAGAAGUAAGAGGAAAGGGGGCUUGGGGAAUCCUAGAGCACCUUCCUUUCCAGAACACAGAGCGUCCCUGGCAUGGGGUGGCCCCAGAGGCUCCCAGGUACAAAGUCUGUGAGGAGGGGGUGCAACAGGGCCAGCGAGGGGAACCUGACAAAGCCAGGUCUCUGCCCAAACAGGCCAGAAGUCAUGCACAGCCCAGGUGAGCUGGGGCACCGGCACCCAGCCGCCCACACCAACCAUCAGCCACCCCCGCCAUCUCCAGGUUCCUGUAGCUGCUGAGAAAGUUCAAGGGUAAGUUGGCUUUCACUCUUUGACUCUUCUUAUUCAUCUCAGCCAGACCUUUGGGGGUAGGGGGAGAGGUGAGGAAGACAGCUGACAUGCAGUCAUUCUGAGCACCCCUGGGGUCCUCCUGCUCACAGCCUCCCUUUCCCCCAAGCCUCCACCGGCCCUCCUGACUCUUGUUUCCUAAGAAACAAGCACAGGCUGAUUCAUGCAGGUUGCAGAAAACAGGAUAAACCCAGGCUGCUUUGUAGGGUUACAAGUUCAGAGGCUUUGGGGUUUUCUGGAUCUAAUCUUGAAGCAUCGAGACACAUCUGAAUACUUGGAUGAUUCCCAUCUCUCUCUUCCUCUUGUCACCCUGGUCACCCUGAUGUGCACUGAACCCCAGACCAGAGGCUCCCAGCCCUUCAUGCACCAUUUGAAGGAAAUGGAUCCACUGACCUCCCCUAGUCCGUUCCCAUCCCAUCCGAUUCCUCUGAGUCCCUGCAAAAGAACUUCUCUGGGAGGAGAACCAGUCUGUGGCUCGUUCCAUUCUUGCAUUUCUGACUUUUGCCAUUUGGGGAAGCCAGAGAGCAGGUUCUGCUAUGCACUUUUGCGGGGAGGCACGAGGAGGGUAGAAGCAGGCUCUGUGCCACGUCCAGGGCCAUGAAGGCAUCAGUGGAGAUCAAGGCCCGGCCUUCCACUCUAGCUUGGGGCACCAAAGCAGAGAAAGCAUCCUUUCUGAUUUUGAACAGACAAGGUCUUGCCUUUUACCAUUCUCUGCUGAGACCCUGAAACAGACUGUGAGCUUCCCACACACAGGUGCACAGCUGCUCAUCUAUCUCUGUGUCUCCCUGCACAGCUCAGUGUCUGGCACAGGCAGCUGCUGAAGGGACAAGGGCGUAGCUGAUUCAGCUCAGUCCUGCUGGGGCUAGCACAGUACUGCUUGAUACAAGCUGCUAUUGUAAAAGUUGCUGUCGUGGCUAAGCGGGUUAAGGACCUGCACGUUCCAUCUCUGGCCUCAAUCAGUGGGUUAAGGAUCCAGCUUUGCCCCAAGCAGCAUAGGUCACAGAUGUGGCUCAAUUCCAGUGUUGCUGUGGCUAUGGUACAGGCUGGCAGCUGAAGCUCCAAUUCAACCCGUAGCCUGGGAACUUUCAUAUGCGACAGGUAUGGCUCGUAAAAAGAAAAAAAUAAAAUAAACAAACAAAGCUGCUGGGAUUAGCUAGCACCUCUCUCCUCCCACUGCACUGGCUGAGAUGCCCAGAUUAAACGCGGGGCUUCAGAACCCUCAGAAGAUCUUGCAAAUCAGUGCUGAGUCUCAGAGCUCCAUUUCCUGGGUAACAGCCUCAGAUCAAGGUUUUACCCAGGUGUGAGCUCUCCCAACAGCCCAGGAAAGGGGUAAAGGUGAGAACCCUCGCUCACCACAGUGCAGAUAGACAGGGUCAAAAAAAAAAAAAAAAAAAAAAAAAAAAAACAAAAACAACCUGUCAGCUCCACCCUACCUGUGUGAGCCCUCACCAUGGGAGCAGAGGCAGGAGGGGAGAACACCACAGCCAGCCACGUCAUCUGUGGUUUCACUUCUCUGGUGAAUCAGUUCCCUGUGCAGGAGCCCAGAAGGGCAACCUUGAGUUGAAAUAUUGUUGAGCCAAUUGCAAAUGAAGGCACAGGGUAGUGGGGCCAGGAGCAGGGUGUGAAGUCACACCUGCCAUUGGUUCAGCCACGCCACAUGUCCUUUGGCCCAACCAGCGAGCCUCCGAGGAGGGAACGGUGUACCUGCCUUGCAGGGAUGGAUGCAGAAUGACUCAGAGCUGAAAGCGCUGGGCCAAUGGGAAAAGCCUCCACAC